UACGUAGGUGGCAAGCGUUGUCCGGAAUUACUGGGUGUAAAGGGAGCGCAGGCGGGAAGCCAAGUCAGCUGUGAAAACUACGGGCUUAACUUGUAGACUGCAGUUGAAACUGGUUUUCUUGAGUGAGGUAGAGGUUGGCGGAAUUCCGAGUGUAGCGGUGAAAUGCGUAGAUAUUCGGAGGAACACCGGUGGCGAAGGCGGCCAACUGGGCUUUAACUGACGCUGAGGCUCGAAAGUGUGGGGAGCAAACAGG
Molecule: ribosomal RNA, 253 nt
Filed under: uncultured bacterium
Lineage: Bacteria
Description: partial 16S ribosomal RNA
Rfam family: Bacterial small subunit ribosomal RNA
Source: RNAcentral